Molecule: non-coding RNA, 135 nt
Organism: Triticum urartu
Lineage: Eukaryota; Viridiplantae; Streptophyta; Magnoliopsida; Poales; Poaceae
Source: Rfam
AUCAUACUUCCUCCGUCCAAAAAUACUUGUCAUCAAAAUGGAUAAAAGGAGAUGCAUCUAGAAUUAAAAUAUAUCUAUAUACAUCCCUUUUUAUCCAUUUUAAUGACAAGUAUUUCCGGACGAAGGGAAUACCAA